This 254-nucleotide ribosomal RNA is filed under the name uncultured bacterium. Its description in RNAcentral is "partial 16S ribosomal RNA". It matches the Rfam family "Bacterial small subunit ribosomal RNA", at positions 524 to 776 of the family's 1533-position model. The record is from RNAcentral.
UACGUAGGGUGCGAGCGUUAAUCGGAAUUACUGGGCGUAAAGUGUGCGCAGGCGGCCGCGCAAGUCGAGUGUGAAAUCCCCGAGCUUAACUUGGGAAUUGCGCUCGAAACUACGUGGCUGGAGUGUGGCAGAGGAAGGUGGAAUUCCACGUGUAGCGGUGAAAUGCGUAGAUAUGUGGAGGAACACCGAUGGCGAAGGCAGCCCUUCUGGGCCAACACUGACGCUCAUGCACGAAAGCGUGGGGAGCAAACAGG